This is an RNA transcript of Beta vulgaris subsp. vulgaris (sugar beet), 1011 nucleotides long. RefSeq lists it as uncharacterized. The record is from RefSeq and is a predicted model, not a curated record. NCBI's taxonomy places the organism in Eukaryota, Viridiplantae, Streptophyta, Magnoliopsida, Caryophyllales, Amaranthaceae. The transcript is spliced from 6 exons.
AUUUCCCCCUGCUAAUUAAUUUAAUCAAAUAUUGGUCGACCCGCUUCAUAUGAAAUUUCCCCCUCCGUCCUUCUCUAUCUCUUUCCCUCAUCAAACUGCUUCUCUAUCCCUCUUCUCUCUCGAUCCGCUCCUUGGAAUGCAUGUCCAGAGCUACCAAAUUUUGAACUCCGAGGACCAUGCAAAUAUUCUGCGGAAACACAAUAAGAACCCAUCCGACUACAGACCUGACAUCAUUCAUCAGGCUCUUUUAAUGAUUCUGGAUAUCCCCCUAAAUAAGGCUGUAAAGAUACAAGUUGUGUAUGUUAAAACUCAGAAAGGUGUACUUUUCGAGGUUAAACCUCAUGUUCGUAUCCCAAGAACAUACAAGCGUUUCACUGGCAUUAUGUCGAUCGCUGAGCUCUUGGACAAUGCUGUUGAUGAGUUAUGAUAGAGGUGCAUACUUGGUUUUGCGAUCAUUUGUCAUGAGAACUCAUAGAUCCAAACAUCAGCGAGAAGCAUUUAAGAGGGCCUCUGCAGAACAACUAGAACCAGUCUUUGAGGCCUUGGAUACCCUUGGAAACACAAAAUGGAGAGUGAAUAAAAAGGUGCUUAGCAUUGUAGAUAAGAUAUGGGCUAAUGGAGGUCGUUUGGCUGACUUAGUUGAUUGGGAUGAUGUGAGUUAUCUUUGCUCUUUCCAUCUUAGAAAUAAUUGAGUUUGGUUCUAAUAUGGGUGCAACUGAAGAACUUAGACUUGAAUAGAGAAUACUAUAAAUAGAAUUAAGCAUGAUGUAUAUAAUAGAGUUCAUAGUAUUAUUUUCCAUAGUACUAGAGUUGUUGAUAUUAGAUGGUUUAGAGAGUUAUUUUUGUAGCCUGUUGGUUUUGCUCUUGGUCUUGGGGUUAUGUCCCUUGCUGAGCUUAUCGUUUCUGGUUUUUUGAUGCAAUAAUAUUCUGAUCUUUGCUUAACAAAAAAAAUUAUGUAUUUAAUUUGUAGUGUACGGAAUAUAUAUAAUACUUGAUUAAGUUUUUAUGGCU